RNAcentral lists this ribosomal RNA (490 nucleotides) under uncultured bacterium. Its description in RNAcentral is "partial 16S ribosomal RNA". It matches the Rfam family "Bacterial small subunit ribosomal RNA", at positions 30 to 507 of the family's 1533-position model. The record is from RNAcentral.
AUUGAACGCUGGCGGCAGGCCUAACACAUGCAAGUCGAACGGUAACAGGAAGCAGCUUGCCGCUUUGCUGAGGAGUGGCGGACGGGUGAGUAAUGUCUGGGAAACUGCCCGAUGGAGGGGGAUAACUACUGGAAACGGUAGCUAAUACCGCAUAUCGUCGCAAGACCAAAGAGCGGGACCUUAGGGCCUCUUGCCAUCGGAUGUGCCCAGAUGGGAUUAGCUAGUAGGUGGGGUAACGGCUCACCUAGGCGACGAUCCCUAGCUGGUCUGAGAGGAUGACCAGCCACACUGGAACUGAGACACGGUCCAGACUCCUACGGGAGGCAGCAGUGGGGAAUAUUGCACAAUGGGCGCAAGCCUGAUGCAGCCAUACCGCGUGGAUGAAGAAGGCCUUCGGGUUGUAAAGUACUUUCGGCGGGGAGGAAGGGAAUAAAGUUAAUACCUUUGCUCAUUGACGUUACCCGCAGAAGAAGCACCGGCUAACUCCGUG